RNAcentral lists this long non-coding RNA (1052 nucleotides) under Cyanistes caeruleus (blue tit). RNAcentral describes it as "lncRNA (ENSCCEG00000023687.1)". Lineage: Eukaryota; Metazoa; Chordata; Aves; Passeriformes; Paridae. The record is from RNAcentral.
CAAGAUUUAUAAAAAAUGAAAAAUUCAUUUGUAGUGCUUGUCAUGAGCCUUGGUGUCAGAAUUGAGAGGAAAGCUGUUGUUGUUAGCAUCAACAGGGCUGCUGCUGAAAGAAUGGGACAGGACAGAUCUCUGGGUUAGGUGAUGAGCAGUUAAUGCAAGUGAGAUGGGAGGGAAACAGACUGAGUGAAUGGAUGCUUCCAUAUGGCUGAAGCGAGAUGUGUCCGUGAGGCAAAUGGAGCAGCUGGAAGUGAGGAUGCUGAGGAUUUCUGCAGGACGAGCCCUGUUUUUAAUAGAGAUGGUUCCAGGAAGACUUAGUGUCUCUCUGAGACACUCUGAAAGUGUCUCCUUUGACACAGAGGCCUCUCUGUAAUAAUGAAGAUGGCUCAUAGACAAAUGUGACAUCAUUAACACACUUUUUAAUAUUUUUUUUGUUGUAUGUCUUUUGAGUUUCUCAGCUGGAAGGAACCUGGUGAAUGGAAUCGCUGUGUGACUAAUGAGCUGUCUGUGGAACAUCUGCAGUCUCAAUACCUGCAUCUCCAGUGAAAAUAGUCUGGGAACUUCUGCCUUAAUGAAACUUCAGACCACAUACCUAGAAAAGACAGGGGAAAUUAGAACUGGACCAGUGUAUGUAGAAGGUCGGGCUACAGCGACAGAACACCAGCUCCCCAACUUCCAACCAGCACCUCAGAUGCAGGUUAGCAUCCUGGAUUUUUAUGUUUCCAACUUGAUAACCUCUCUGUCUGGAUGACACUUGCAAUCCCCAGCACAGGGCUUUGGCAAUUUAGAAAUAGAUAAUGCAUCUAAACUGUAAUCCUCUGUAGGGAACUGUGCAGUAUAACUGAAUCAUUAUAGUACUGCUUGCCUCAUGGAAAUUGUUCUAACACUUCUGCUCUCGUAAUGUAAGGCAGCUGUUGGGCAUAGAAAUCUCAUUCCUAAACACCAAAACUGAACAGCAUUUUAGCAAUUAAAAGGCAUUAUUUUUAGUGCUUUUAUUUUAGCUUGGUGUUGCUAUAGAAAAUAAAGAACUGUGCCUUCCCUUCCCCCUGGUCCCC